GGGCUGGGGCUCAGUGGUAGAGCACUCGCCUAGCACAUGAGAGGCCCUGGGUUUGAUCCUCAGCACCACA
This 70-nucleotide transfer RNA is filed under the name Marmota monax (woodchuck). Its description in RNAcentral is "tRNA.Ala". The stretch from base 5 to 65 matches the Rfam family "tRNA", at positions 6 to 65 of the family's 71-position model. Rfam says of the family: Transfer RNA (tRNA) molecules are approximately 80 nucleotides in length. Lineage: Eukaryota; Metazoa; Chordata; Mammalia; Rodentia; Sciuridae. The record is from RNAcentral.